RNAcentral lists this small RNA (139 nucleotides) under Arabidopsis thaliana (thale cress). RNAcentral describes it as "ATSL191900". The stretch from base 47 to 128 matches the Rfam family "Small nucleolar RNA Z155". From Rfam's summary of the family: Z155 is a member of the C/D class of snoRNA which contain the C (UGAUGA) and D (CUGA) box motifs. Most of the members of the box C/D family function in directing site-specific 2'-O-methylation of substrate RNAs. The record is from RNAcentral. Lineage: Eukaryota; Viridiplantae; Streptophyta; Magnoliopsida; Brassicales; Brassicaceae.
AGGGUUUGGUUUUUACUGUUUAAGAUUGAUGACGAUGAGAAAGAGCCGAUGGAAUGAUGAUAACGAUUUUUCGGAUAUAUUAAUUUAUUCUGUCGACCAAAACUCAGACUACAAUUAUCUGACUAAUUGGCUCUUUCUC